RNAcentral lists this ribosomal RNA (459 nucleotides) under uncultured bacterium. RNAcentral's name for it is "partial 16S ribosomal RNA". It matches the Rfam family "Bacterial small subunit ribosomal RNA", at positions 338 to 795 of the family's 1533-position model. The record is from RNAcentral.
CCUACGGGGGGCAGCAGUGAGGAAUAUUGGUCAAUGGGCGCGAGCCUGAACCAGCCAAGUCGCGUGAGGGAAGACGGUCCUAUGGAUUGUAAACCUCUUUUGUCGGGGAGCAAAAGACGCCACGCGUGGCGUUCCGAGAGUACCCGAAGAAAAAGCAUCGGCUAACUCCGUGCCAGCAGCGGCGGUAAUACGGAGGAUGCCAGGGUUAUCCGGAUUUAUUGGGUUAAAAGGGGGUGUAGGCGGAAGUUCAAGUCCACGGUAAAAUUGAGGGGCUCAACCCCUUCGAGCCGUUGAAACUGGUUUUCUUGAGUGAGUGAGAGGUAUGCGGAAUGCGUAGUGUAGCGGUGAAAUGCAUAGAUAUCACGCAGAACUCCGAUUGCGAAGGCAGCAUACCGGCGCCCGACUGACGCUGAGGCACGAAAGCGUGGGGAUCGAACAGGAUUAGAUACCCCUGUAGUC